UGGGGAAUUUUGCACAAUGGGGGAAACCCCGAUGCAGCGACGCCGCGUGAUUUAGAAGGCCUUCGGGUUGUAAAAAUCUUUUUUAUGGGAUGAAAAUGACAGUACCAUAAGAAUAAGGUCCGGCUAAAUACGUGCCAGCAGCCGCGGUAAUACGUAAGGUCCGAGCGUUGUCCGGAAUCAUUGGGCGUAAAGGGUACGUAGGCGGAUAAGCAAGUUAGAAGUGAAAUCCUAUAGCUCAACUAUAGUAAGCUUUUAAAACUGCUCAUCUUGAGGUAUGGAAGGGAAAGUGGAAUUCCUAGUGUAGCGGUGAAAUGCGCAGAUAUUAGGAGGAAUACCGGUGGCGAAGGCGACUUUCUGGCCAUAUACUGACGCUGGGGUACGAAAGCGUGGGUAGCAAACAGG
RNAcentral lists this ribosomal RNA (402 nucleotides) under Verrucomicrobiota bacterium. Its description in RNAcentral is "Verrucomicrobia bacterium partial 16S ribosomal RNA". It matches the Rfam family "Bacterial small subunit ribosomal RNA", at positions 355 to 776 of the family's 1533-position model. Lineage: Bacteria; Pseudomonadati; Verrucomicrobiota. The record is from RNAcentral.